Molecule: ribosomal RNA, 253 nt
Filed under: uncultured bacterium
Lineage: Bacteria
Description: partial 16S ribosomal RNA
Rfam family: Bacterial small subunit ribosomal RNA
Source: RNAcentral
UACGUAGGGGGCGAGCGUUGUCCGGAGUUACUGGGCGUAAAGGGCACGCAGGCGGUUGUGUCAGUUUGCGGGGACAGUGGGCGGCUUAACUGCCCAAGGGUCGCAAAGACGGCACGACUGGAGAGCGAGAGAGGGACCUGGAACUCCGGGUGGAGCGGUGAAAUGCGUAGAGAUCCGGAAGAACACCACUGGCGAAGGCAAGGUCCUGGCUCGUAUCUGACGCUGAGGUGCGAAAGCUAGGGGAGCGAACGGG